Triplophysa dalaica is the source of this 1656-nucleotide long non-coding RNA. RefSeq lists it as uncharacterized. Lineage: Eukaryota; Metazoa; Chordata; Actinopteri; Cypriniformes; Nemacheilidae. The record is from RefSeq and is a predicted model, not a curated record. The transcript has 2 exons.
UGUUGGGUCAUUUUUUGAGUAACCCAAACGCUGGGUUAGCAGUCGGGUCCAAUUGAGUGACAGUUGAGAGAGUAAACCCCUCCCACUCAUCGACGCAUCAGACAAACUUUACCUUCGCGGGCAUUUUGAUCCACCUCAUCUCGAAAAGUUGUUAUUCGGAGAAGAAAAGGUAUGUUUACAAGUUUUUAAUGUAUAAAACUAUUACUGCACAAAAAAAAUGCAAAAGUAUGCAAAAUUCGGCUGUUCGCAUUAGGUUUGAAAGUAACGUUACAAUCUAGCUUCGUUAGCUUUGUAUAGCUAGUCUGUAACGUUAUGCCCACGUUGUUCUAACUUACAGCUUUUUAAUCAUUUAAACUUCAUUUUUGGUCAACAUUUCCCUUUGAAAUUCCUGACUCGUGUGAGUCAUUUAGUUCAGUAACUUACGCAACUUGAUAUUAGUUUAAGGUCGACACGAGAGCGUCGUGUAAAAAGCAAACAUCCAGCAAUUUUUUUUAUUUUAAAUACCGCUAAUGUUCGGUGAGGGAACUUAGAUUAAAUAGUCUUUUAGACGAGAAUGUUGUUGUUAAGAACACAAAUACGUGAUUUAUAUAUAAACAUAACGCCUCUUUGAGAUUUUGUUAAGACGCUGUCGGAGGUGUGAGCUUCAGGCUGUCAGCGGUCGUGGCUCCGUGGAGAGCAGCUCUAUCUCGGCCAUUGCCUCGGGAGUAGCCGCUCUUAUAACGUUAGUGGUUAACAAUGCGAUAUAAUUAAUUUUGGGUAUAUGAGACGAACAAUUAUUGCUCUUUUUAGACUUCUACUUAUUCCCGAGUGUGUCGAAUUAGUUAAGAGUAACUUGUGUUAACGUUUAUAUUAUUUUUUAAGACUGUAUUUCACUUUCUGUACUAUAUCCCACUCAUCUUUUUCCCACACUGACAGGUUGCAGAAUAACAGCUAAUAUUAAUGGAUCAUUCCAGUCAAGAGAAAGUCAACUGAAACGUGGAUGUUUUCAUAACAGGCUUAAAGAUGAACAAAUUGAUAAAGAAACCCUCCUGCUGGACAUCCACUUCCAAAAGUGCACGCCACACUGUUGUCUACAAACUCCCAGGAAAAGAAUCCUCUUUAGUAAGACGGCUCCGUGGAUAUGUCAGGUUAAGCAGUACUGAAACCGAAAGAACUAACACUCUUUAAAAUGUUUUGUGAGUUUAUAUGAAGAGGAAAGUUACGGUGUCCCUUUUUCACAUCCAUAACGCUUGUUUAUUUCUUUUUUUAUAGAAAACUUAUGCAUAGACUGAUAUUUUAUCAUAUAAAUGCGGUUCUAUCAACAAGGGUUUAGUAAAAUACUUUUUAUAGUGUUUUUAUGUCGCAUCCAUAACGCUGGACUUGCCCUAAAGCAUUUUACUCAUGCCACUUUGUUAACUGUAUAUGAAUUUUUGAAGUGUUAAGUUGUCUAACUAUUUAUAUUUACUUGUGCCACUUUAAUAACCUUGUUAAAUGUAUAUGUUUAAAUCUAAACUAAUGUAAUUUAUUGAAGUUAAUUUUCCUUAAAUAUGUAUAAACAUACAUUUCAUCAAAGUGUUUUAUAUGCCAUUUUAUUGUUCAUUGAGCAUAACAUAUUGCAUGUUUUUAUGAAUUCCUUUUGUCUUGCAUUUUGAUCCUUAAUAAAACUUUUGAUUCUUA